Pteronotus mesoamericanus is the source of this 323-nucleotide small nucleolar RNA. The record is from RefSeq and is a predicted model, not a curated record. NCBI's taxonomy places the organism in Eukaryota, Metazoa, Chordata, Mammalia, Chiroptera, Mormoopidae.
GCUGUUAGAGUGGUAGACCUGGGACCCCUAUCUUUAUCAGUGUAGGGGACUCUGGAGAGUCACAGACCAAGGUCUCUAAGCUUGGUGGGCAAUACAGAGUUCUGUGUGCUCACUGUAAAGGCAGACCAACAAGAAAUUCUUCCUGCUUUUCAACUACCUCUUUCACAGACAUGAUUCUUCCUGGUUGCCAGGAAGAAACUGGGGUAACUGGCAUGAGAGGAUAGGGGCAGGGCAUGUUCAUGGUAUCAGGGUCGAGAGUCUCAAAGGACUGGCUUAUACUGUGGCCACUGAGAGAUGCCCACAGAUCUGGUAAUCGGGCGGCU